UGGUGCACGCCGCGUGGAGGAUGACGGUCUUAGGAUUGUAAACUCCUGUCAUCUGGGAGAAAGACCUGGCGAUUAAUAGUCGACAGGGUUGAUAGUACCAGAAGAGGAAGGGACGGCUAACUUCGUGCCAGCAGCCGCGGUAAUACGAAGGUCCCGAGCGUUAUUCGGAAUCACUGGGCGUAAAGGGAGCGUAGGCGGCGCGGUAAGUCGGAUGUGAAAUCCCGGGGCUCAACCCCGGAACUGCAUCUGAUACUGCCGUGCUAGAGUAAUGGAGGGGUAGCUGGAAUUCUCGGUGUAGCAGUGAAAUGCGUAGAUAUCGAGAGGAACACUCGUGGCGAAAGCGAGCUACUGGACAUUUACUGACGCUGAGGCUCGAAGGCUAGGGGAGCGAAAGGGAUUAGAUACCCCUGUAGUCCUAGCAGUAAACGGUGCACGCUUGGUGUGAGGGGAAUCGACCCCCCUUGUGCCGGAGCUAACGCGUUAAGCGUGCCGCCUGGGAAGUACGGUCGCAAGACUAAAACUCAAAGAAAUUGACGGGGACCCGCACAAGCGGUGGAGUAUGUGGCUUAAUUCGAUGCAACGCGA
Molecule: ribosomal RNA, 585 nt
Filed under: uncultured bacterium
Lineage: Bacteria
Description: bacterial SSU rRNA
Rfam family: Bacterial small subunit ribosomal RNA
Source: RNAcentral